CUUUCUUUGCUGGCGACCGGCGCACGGGUGAGUAACACGUAUCCAACCUGCCCUUUACUCGGGGAUAGCCUUUCGAAAGAAAGAUUAAUACCCGAUAGCAUAAUGAUUCCGCAUGGUUUCAUUGUUAAAGGAUUCCGGUAAAGGAUGGGGAUGCGUUCCAUUAGGUUGUUGGUGAGGUAACGGCCCACCAAGCCUUCGAUGGAUAGGGGUUCUGAGAGGAAGGUCCCCCACAUUGGAACUGAGACACGGUCCAA
This 254-nucleotide ribosomal RNA is filed under the name uncultured bacterium. RNAcentral's name for it is "partial 16S ribosomal RNA". It matches the Rfam family "Bacterial small subunit ribosomal RNA", at positions 79 to 334 of the family's 1533-position model. The record is from RNAcentral.